Molecule: ribosomal RNA, 255 nt
Filed under: uncultured bacterium
Lineage: Bacteria
Description: partial 16S ribosomal RNA
Rfam family: Bacterial small subunit ribosomal RNA
Source: RNAcentral
UACGUAGGGUGCAAGCGUUUGUCCGGAAUUAUUGGGCGUAAAGAGCGUGUAGGCGGCCCCGUUAGUCCGCUGUGAAAAUCCGAGGGCUUAACCCUGGACCUGCAGUGGGUACGGGCAGACUGGAGUGCGGUAGGGGAGAUCGGAAUUCCUGGUGUAGCGGUGAAAUGCGCAGAUAUCAGGAGGAACACCGGUGGCGAAGGCGGAUCUCUGGGCCGUAACUGACGCUGAGGAGCGAAAGCAUGGGGAGCGAACAGG